Molecule: small RNA, 89 nt
Filed under: Caenorhabditis elegans
Lineage: Eukaryota; Metazoa; Nematoda; Chromadorea; Rhabditida; Rhabditidae
Description: Unclassified non-coding RNA F02A9.13
Source: RNAcentral
GCGAUAGCCUUCUUGACGAAAGCCUUAGCCUCAUCAUUGAGAGCGUUGACCUUGUCCUUGACGAUUUGGUGGAGCUUGGAGGCCUUCUC